RNAcentral lists this ribosomal RNA (253 nucleotides) under uncultured bacterium. RNAcentral describes it as "partial 16S ribosomal RNA". It matches the Rfam family "Bacterial small subunit ribosomal RNA", at positions 524 to 776 of the family's 1533-position model. The record is from RNAcentral.
UACAGAGGGUGCGAGCGUUGUUCGGAAUCAUUGGGCGUAAAGCGCGUGUAGGCGGCCUUGUAAGUCUGUUCUGAAAGCCCGGGGCUCAACCCCGGGAGGCGGAUGGAUACUGCAAGGCUCGAGUACGGAAGAGGCGAGUGGAAUUCCCGGUGUAGCGGUGAAAUGCGCAGAUAUCGGGAGGAACACCAAUGGCGAAGGCAGCUCGCUGGGACGUUACUGACGCUGAGACGCGAAAGCGUGGGGAGCAAACAGG